This 460-nucleotide ribosomal RNA is filed under the name uncultured bacterium. RNAcentral's name for it is "partial 16S ribosomal RNA". It matches the Rfam family "Bacterial small subunit ribosomal RNA", at positions 338 to 795 of the family's 1533-position model. The record is from RNAcentral.
CCUACGGGGGGCAGCAGUGAGGAAUAUUGGUCAAUGGGCGCGAGCCUGAACCAGCCAAGUAGCGUGAAGGAUGACUGUCCUACGGGUUGUAAACUUCUUUUAUCAAGGAAUAAAGUGAGGCACGUGUGCCUUUUUGUAUGUAUUUUAUGAAUAAGGAUCGGCUAACUCCGUGCCAGCAGCCGCGGUAAUACGGAGGAUCCGAGCGUUAUCCGGAUUUAUUGGGUUUAAAGGGAGCGUAGAUGGGUUGUUAAGUCAGUGGUGAAAGUUUGCGGCUCAACCGUAAAAUUGCAGUUGAUACUGGCAGCCUUGAGUACAGGUGAGGUAGGCGGAAUGCGUGGUGUAGCGGUGAAAUGCUUAGAUAUCACGAAGAACUCCGAUUGCGAAGGCAGCAUACUAAACUGACACUGACAUUGAUGCACGAAAGUGUGGGUAUCAAACAGGAUUAGAUACCCUAGUAGUC